RNAcentral lists this ribosomal RNA (95 nucleotides) under Fusarium subglutinans. RNAcentral's name for it is "partial 5.8S ribosomal RNA". It matches the Rfam family "5.8S ribosomal RNA", at positions 63 to 154 of the family's 154-position model. From Rfam's summary of the family: 5.8S ribosomal RNA (5.8S rRNA) is a component of the large subunit of the eukaryotic ribosome. It is transcribed by RNA polymerase I as part of the 45S precursor that also contains 18S and 28S rRNA. The record is from RNAcentral. Lineage: Eukaryota; Fungi; Ascomycota; Sordariomycetes; Hypocreales; Nectriaceae.
UAAUGUGAAUUGCAGAAUUCAGUGAAUCAUCGAAUCUUUGAACGCACAUUGCGCCCGCCAGUAUUCUGGCGGGCAUGCCUGUUCGAGCGUCAUUU